AAUUUAAGCAUAUCACUAAGCGGAGGAAAAGAAACUAACAAGGAUUCCCUUAGUAACGGCGAGUGAACAGGGAUUAGCCCAGCACCGAAGCCUGUGGCCAUUUGGUUACUAGGCAAUGUGGUGUUCAGGUCAUUCCGCAGAGACGCUGCUCCACUCUAAGUCCAUCAAUGAGUACGGUAGUACAGACUUGGCCCACAGAGGGUGAAAGGCCCGUGAGAGUGGAGAAUCAGGCAGGUCAGUGUCUCUCUGGAUAGACCUUGGAGUCGGGUUGUUUGUGAAUGCAGCCCAAAGUGGUGGUAAACUCCAUCCAAGGCUAAAUACAAGCACGAGUCCGAUAGCGAACAAGUACCGUGAGGGAAAGUUGAAAAGUACUUUGAAGAGAGAGUAAACAGUGCGUGAAACCGCUCAGAGGUAAACGGGUGGAGUUGAACUGCAAGCCCUGAGAAUUCAGCUGGUGGGCGUGGUUUGAGCUUGGUCAAAUGGGUUGUACACUGGGGUCUGCGUAGUAGCAGGUCUCUGCCUUCGGGUGGGGAUGCGCGAGGCACUUAUCAGGUGUUGCGCGCUUCAGUUGUAUUCGGGCCUGCUCGCCAGUGCAUUUUCUCUGGGUGUUCACCACGACCGGCGCUGCUGUCUGGCUGUCAUGGUUAAACCGGUCUUGCUUUGUCCUUGUGGCUUUGCUUGGUCGGGAUGGCAGGUAGCUUGUUGACUCGUCUGGGGCAACUUGGACAAUGGGUCUUCAGGUGUAAUCAGCUGACUGUGAUGGUUCUGUGCAGUGUGUCGGAGACGGCGGCUUGUGGUAUGAACGCGCGUGCCUUGUCUGCUGGCUUGUUUGGGUUUGGUUGCUAUGUUGCUUGUUUCUGCAAGCCUAGCGAUAGCCUGGGCCUGUUGGCGGAUGGUUAUGUGCGGGAUGCUUUUCAGGGCCAAUAGUCUGUGGUGUAGUGGUAGACUUUCCACCCGACCCGUCUUGAAACACGGACCAAGGAGAGUAACAUGUGUGCGAGUCAUUGGGCGUAACGAAACCCACAGGCGCAGUGAAAGUAAAGGUCUGGCUUGUCCGGACUGAGGUGAGAUCUUGUCGUGUCUUACGCGCGGUACCACCAAGCAUUGAACGGCGAGCGCAUCACCGGCCCGUCCCAUGGCGUAGUCACAUAGGCUUUGUCCGAGUGCACCGCCGGGGCGGAGCAUGAGCAUACAUGUUGAGACCCGAAAGAUGGUGAACUAUGCUUGCGCAGGUUGAAGCCAGAGGAAACUCUGGUGGAGGACCGUAGCGAUUCUGACGUGCAAAUCGAUCGUCAAA
RNAcentral lists this ribosomal RNA (1297 nucleotides) under Gorgocephalus euryaleae. RNAcentral describes it as "partial large subunit ribosomal RNA". It matches the Rfam family "Eukaryotic large subunit ribosomal RNA", at positions 31 to 909 of the family's 3401-position model. Lineage: Eukaryota; Metazoa; Platyhelminthes; Trematoda; Plagiorchiida; Gorgocephalidae. The record is from RNAcentral.